Molecule: ribosomal RNA, 500 nt
Filed under: Rhodosporidiobolus lusitaniae
Lineage: Eukaryota; Fungi; Basidiomycota; Microbotryomycetes; Sporidiobolales; Sporidiobolaceae
Description: SSU rRNA
Rfam family: Eukaryotic small subunit ribosomal RNA
Source: RNAcentral
GGAGCCUGCGGCUUAAUUUGACUCAACACGGGGAAACUCACCAGGUCCAGACACAAUAAGGAUUGACAGAUUGAUAGCUCUUUCUUGAUCUUGUGGUCGGUGGUGCAUGGCCGUUCUUAGUUGGUGGAGUGAUUUGUCUGGUUAAUUCCGAUAACGAACGAGACCUUAACCUGCUAAAUAGACCAGCCGGCUUUGGCUGGCUGCUGUCUUCUUAGAGGGACUAUCAGCGUUUAGCUGAUGGAAGUUUGAGGCAAUAACAGGUCUGUGAUGCCCUUAGAUGUUCUGGGCCGCACGCGCGCUACACUGACAGAGCCAGCGAGUCUACCACCUUUGCCGGAAGGCAUGGGUAAUCUUGUGAAACUCUGUCGUGAUGGGGAUAGAACAUUGCAAUUAUUGUUCUUCAACGAGGAAUACCUAGUAAGCGUGAUUCAUCAGAUCGCGUUGAUUACGUCCCUGCCCCUUGUACACACCGCCCGUCGCUACUACCGAUUGAAUGGCUA